RNAcentral lists this ribosomal RNA (1334 nucleotides) under Athalia birmanica. RNAcentral describes it as "16S ribosomal RNA". The record is from RNAcentral. Lineage: Eukaryota; Metazoa; Arthropoda; Insecta; Hymenoptera; Athaliidae.
AUUUAUUUAAUUAUUAAUUUAGUUAUUGUAAAUUAUUGAGUAAUAAAAUUAUUUUUAAAAAUUGAAUUAGUUGUUUGAGUAUUUUAAUUAGAAUAAAUUAGUUUAAAUUAUAGUUCAAUAGUAUUGUAAACAAAAUUUGAAAUAUAUUGAAAAAUUUUAAAUUUAAAAAAGAAAAAUUAAUUUUUUGUACCUUGUGUAUCAGGGUUUAUUAAAUAAAAAAUAUUAAUAUUUAUUUUUCUCGAAUUUAAAAGAGUUAUUUAUUUAUGAAAUUUAAUGUAGCAAAAUUAUUUUUAAUAAAUUUAUAGUAAUGAAAUGUUAAUCGUUUUUAAAGAUUUCUAGUUUUUUAAUAAAUAAAUUUAAUUUAAAUUUUAAUUUCUAAUACUUUUUUUAAAAAAAUUAUAUUAAAUUAAAAUUAAUAUUUUAAGGGAUAAGCUUUAAAAUAAAUUUUUAAAAUUUGAAUGAUAUAUUUUAUUUAAAUAGGGUUAGAAAUAUCUUUUUUUUAAAAAAUGUUAUAAUUUAAUUUAAAAUUAAUUUAAUUUUUUUUUAUUUAAUAAUUUAUUAAAAUAACUUAUUUAAUUAAUUAAUUUUGUGAAAUAAUGAUAAAAUUAGUAAAUAAAAAUGUUUUGGUUAUUUAAAAAAUGAAAGGUUAAAUAAAGGAAUUCAGCAAAAUUUUUUACUCACCUGUUUAACAAAAACAUGUCUUUUUGAAUAUAAUUUAAAGUCUGAUCUGCCCAAUGAUUUAAAAUUUAAUGGCUGCGGUAUCUUGACCGUGCAAAGGUAGCAUAAUAAUUUGUCUUUUAAUUGAAGGCUGGUAUGAAUGAUUUGAUGAAGUAAAAACUGUCUCUAUAAAAUUAUUAUUUAAAUUUUAUUUUUUAGUUAAAAAGCUAAAAUUUAAUUAAAGGACGAGAAGACCCUAUAGAGUUUAAUAAUUAACUUUUAUUUUUUUUUUUAAUUUUUAAUGAAUUUAAUAUUUAAUUAUUUUAUUGGGGUGAUAGGAAAAUUAAGUAAACUUUUUUAAUUUUAAAUACAUUAAUUUAUGAAUUUUUGAUCUUUAAGUUAAGAUUAUUAGAAUAAAUUACCUUAGGGAUAACAGCGUUAUUUUUUUUAAAAGUUCAUAUUUAUAAUAAAGAUUGCGACCUCGAUGUUGGAUUAAAAUAAAAUUUAGGCGCAAAAGCUUAAAGUUUAGGUCUGUUCGACCUUUAAAAUUUUACAUGAUCUGAGUUCAAACCGGUGUAAGCCAGGUUGGUUUCUAUCCUUAAUUUUAAAAUAAAUUUUUAGUACGAAAGGACCAAAUUUUAAAAAUAAUUUUUUUUUAUUGUUUAUUAAUAAAUUUU